RNAcentral lists this non-coding RNA (280 nucleotides) under Bacillus sp. (in: firmicutes). Its description in RNAcentral is "Bacillus sp. T-box sequence". It matches the Rfam family "T-box leader". From Rfam's summary of the family: Uncharged tRNA acts as the effector for transcription antitermination of genes in the T-box leader family. T-boxes are found upstream of many aminoacyl-tRNA synthetase genes and some amino acid biosynthetic genes usually in Gram-positive bacteria. Lineage: Bacteria; Bacillati; Bacillota; Bacilli; Caryophanales; Bacillaceae. The record is from RNAcentral.
UAAAAGGCAUUGAAGAGAAGAGUAGAUUAAGAUGAUUUCUCUAAAGAGAGCUUCGGCAGCUGAAAAGAAGCGGGAAGGAACUUGAUUGAACAUGGCCUCUGAGCCUCGUGCUGAAAGGAUAGAGUGAUCUAUUGCGAGUAGGUUCCGGCGAGAUUUGGUACUCGUUAUCCAUACCAAGGUGUAAAGAACGUAUGAAUCGUUUAUGCACUUACUGAGACUGUUUAUGCGAAUAAAUAGUGAAUUAAGGUGGUACCGCGUGCAAUCACACCACGUCCUUAAC